UACGGGGGGUCCAAGCGUUGUCCGGAUUCCUUGGGCGUAAAGCGCUCGUAGGCGGUUCGGUCAGUCGGGUGUGCAAUCUCCGUGCUCAACACGGAGCGGCCACCUGAUACUGCCGUGACUCGAGUCCGGUAGGGGAGUGUGGAAUUCCCGGUGUAGCGGUGAAAUGCGUAGAGAUGUGGAGGAACACCGAUGGCGAAGGCAGCCCCCUGGGCCAACACUGACGCUCAGGCACGAAAGCGUGGGGAGCAAACAGG
Molecule: ribosomal RNA, 254 nt
Filed under: uncultured bacterium
Lineage: Bacteria
Description: partial 16S ribosomal RNA
Rfam family: Bacterial small subunit ribosomal RNA
Source: RNAcentral